This is a long non-coding RNA of Malania oleifera, 568 nucleotides long. RefSeq lists it as uncharacterized. The record is from RefSeq and is a predicted model, not a curated record. The transcript is spliced from 2 exons. Lineage: Eukaryota; Viridiplantae; Streptophyta; Magnoliopsida; Santalales; Ximeniaceae.
GAGAGAGAGCUCACGGGGCCGUUGAUUUCGUCUCCUUCGAACAUCCACCGUUGAUCUAUGGGCACAACGGCGGAGCCCUGGCAACUAAUCUGGAACGACCGACUGGUACUGCCACGGGAAGUCACUCGAACCGACGGUGGUGGAGCUGCUAUUGCGCAUCCACACAAUAAUGCGGUCGUCUUCAGAGAAACGCAAGAAGGUUUCGGUGACGGGGGCGAGCACACCACCGACGGGGAAGGAUAAGGAACCGCCAUUCUACUCUUGCUGCAAACUCUCCUCAGUCCUAAGCUAAUCUCUGCCUGUACUCUGCCCCAAGCCUGUAAUCAAAUUAGGCGAGCAAAUCAAGGUUGCAGAUAGAGGGGACUACUAUACUGCCCUGUCUAUAGGGUGAGUGUUUUUGGGAAGUCAUUUUUGAAUUGUCCCUAAGUCCAUAUGAGGACAUUUUGGGGAAUGACUAUGUAUGCAUAUUCUGAAAAUUUUGACACUCAAGUAUUGUAUAUAUCGACAUGGUUGUAUGUAUUUUGCUUGUCGUUGCAUAGGUAGUUAUUGAGUUCCAGAUUCCACAGUC